This 1135-nucleotide long non-coding RNA is filed under the name Hordeum vulgare. RNAcentral describes it as "long non-coding RNA (HVUL_LNC007740)". The record is from RNAcentral. Lineage: Eukaryota; Viridiplantae; Streptophyta; Magnoliopsida; Poales; Poaceae.
GGAACAUGACCACCAUGGGGCAAGCUCAAGGGCGAUGUAUCGCAUGGCCAUACAAGCAUGUGAGAUUUUUUUCUUAUUUUCUUCUGAUUAAACCUACCAAUGACUAUUAUGGUUGAUUGCUGAAAAAGCUUUGCUUCUAUGUAUGCAGUUGGAAGUGGACAAGUCCAUGGAAAAAGCAGGAAUGCGACCACAAGCAGGCUAAGGAGGUAAUAUACAUGUUUCUCUUGGUUGCUAUGUGUGUGAUGUUAAGUUGCUGCAUGGUAAUUGCUUGAUCUAUGUGACUGGAUCGAUGGAGACUUUUAUUAGAUGUUGUUCUUCAUGUCCUGUGUAUGCAUGUUCUUGCAUAUAACUAGUGGAAGCUUUUACAUGUUUGUUGAAAAGAGUAUUUAGUUUGGCAAAGUUCUUGAUUUGUUCUUAAAUCCCAGUCCAAUUCUGAAUCUGCUGUAGAAAAUUUACUAUUUCUGAAUUGAAUGUACACUAAAGUUCGUUAUCUGGUUUAAUUAGGAUUUAACAUCUUCCACUAUUGUCUCUCUAUACUUGUCCUGUUCGUUUAGUCCAAAUCUGUCAUUGAAUUUUUUUCUUGUUUCAAGUACACUAAAAUAUUUAUCCCAUUUUAUACUGCAGCCAGAUUCUGACCGUUUGUUUCCAGCGUGACUUGUCUGUGUAUACCUUCAUGCUUUGUUCGCUACUACUUGGUUGUACAUGAGCAAUAUUUUUGUUCCUGUAUACUGGACGAGGCAUAGGCGCGUAGUUUUGUUUGUCAAAAAAUUGCCACUUUGUACUAUGGUGUAUUCUUUUCUACAUGUGUCAUAUUAUUCCUAUGCAAAGAAUGACUACUGCCCAGGUCUUUGUAAAUGUUCCUCAAGUUUAACUGUAGCAUGUUAACUUCAAUGUUAAUUUAAAUUCUGAAAAGAGAGCUCCCUAUUGAGUAUCCUACCUGUUGCAGGUUUCCCAAAGGUGCACAAGUCGAUGAAGAUUUGGAAGAUUUUCAAGCUCCUGAAGAUUUGGAAGACCUACAAUAGUUGGUGGAGUGAUUAUGUAAUAUGCUUGUUUAGUUUGUGAAACCUAGACACACUUGCUCCGCUCAUUUUGCUGGUCGAUAAGCCAUCUGCUCAUUUUGGUUGUGUGGCACACC